UAGUGUUACAGCUUUUUUAGAAUUUGACUAGCAGGCUUUCUGGUUUUUGCUGGAAAGCCUCC
Papio anubis (olive baboon) is the source of this 62-nucleotide small nuclear RNA. Its record names the gene U7. It matches the Rfam family "U7 small nuclear RNA". From Rfam's summary of the family: Animal histone pre-mRNAs are spliced by a different mechanism than nuclear pre-mRNAs and self-splicing introns. The record is from Ensembl. NCBI's taxonomy places the organism in Eukaryota, Metazoa, Chordata, Mammalia, Primates, Cercopithecidae.